GAUGAACGCUAGCGGCAGGCCUAACACAUGCAAGUCGAGGGGCAGCACAGAAAUUCAGCAAUGAGUUUUGGUGGCGACCGGCAGACGGGUGCGUAACGCGUGUGCAACCUACCCUUAACAGGGGAAUAACGGCGGGAAACUUCCACUAAUACCCCAUAACAUCCCAAGAGGCAUCCCUUGGCGUUGAAAGCUCCGGCGGUUAAGGAUGCGCACGCGUUGUAUGCGAUUGUUGGUGAGGUAACGGCUCACCAAGUCUACGAUACAGAGGGGGACUGAGAGGUUAACCCCCCACACUGGUACUGAGACACGGACCAGACUCCUACGGGAGGCAGCAGUGAGGAAUAUUGGUCAAUGGACGCAAGUCUGAACCAGCCAUGCCGCGUGCAGGAAGACGGCUCUAUGAGUUGUAAACUGCUUUUGCAAGAGGAUAAUUGCGGGUACGUGUACCCGCUUGAAGGUACCUUGCGAAUAAGGAUCGGCUAACUCCGUGCCAGCCGCCGCCGUAA
Molecule: ribosomal RNA, 506 nt
Filed under: uncultured bacterium
Lineage: Bacteria
Description: partial 16S ribosomal RNA
Rfam family: Bacterial small subunit ribosomal RNA
Source: RNAcentral